CCUACGGGUGGCAGCAGUGGGGAAUAUUGGGCAAUGGGCGCAAGCCUGACCCAGCAACGCCGCGUGAAGGAAGAAGGCUUUCGGGUUGUAAACUUCUUUUCUGAGGGACGAAGAAAGUGACGGUACCUCAGGAAUAAGCCACGGCUAACUACGUGCCAGCAGCCGCGGCAAGACGUCGGGUGCAAGCGUUCUGCGGAUUUAAUGGGUGUAAAGGGCGUGUAGGCGGGAAAGCAAGUCAGAUGUGAAAAGUCAGGGCUCAACCCCGAGCCUGCAGUUGAAACUGUUUGUCUUGAGUGCUGGAGAGGCAAUCGGAAUUCGGUGUGUAGCGGUGAAAUGCGUAGAUAUCCGGAGGAACACCAGUUGCGAAGGCGGAUUGCUGGACAGUAACUGACGCUGAGGCGCGAAAGCGUGGGGAGCGAACAGGAUUAGAUACCCUGGUAGUC
This 443-nucleotide ribosomal RNA is filed under the name uncultured bacterium. RNAcentral's name for it is "partial 16S ribosomal RNA". It matches the Rfam family "Bacterial small subunit ribosomal RNA", at positions 338 to 795 of the family's 1533-position model. The record is from RNAcentral.